GGCCCGGUGGGAGAGAGGCUAUCCAGAGGAUUGCAAAUCCUUUCACACCAGUUCGAAUCUGGUCCGGGCCUCCA
Molecule: transfer RNA, 74 nt
Filed under: Alphaproteobacteria bacterium
Lineage: Bacteria; Pseudomonadati; Pseudomonadota; Alphaproteobacteria
Description: tRNA-Cys
Rfam family: tRNA
About the family: Transfer RNA (tRNA) molecules are approximately 80 nucleotides in length.
Source: RNAcentral